CAGCUCUCCAGGAGGCCCACAUUCUUUCUGCGGGAACCACUCCAAAGGGGCAUGCUGUUCCAGGCAGCCCCUCGCGCAGACACUCCGGCUUUGUCGAGGGCCCACAACGCGUCCCCGGUGAUGUUCAUGCCCACCUCCCAGUAGUGCCUCCCAGAGGAGAAGGCCGUCUGGCCCACAGCACAGGGAGCCCCCAGUGCCUCACCUAAGCUGAGCUACCCUGUCAGCCCACGGCCACACGCCUGAGGUCCUGCAACUCAGGAGAGGCGGAGGGACCCCUUCCAGG
Long non-coding RNA from Homo sapiens (human), 283 nucleotides. The record is from Ensembl. Lineage: Eukaryota; Metazoa; Chordata; Mammalia; Primates; Hominidae.